This is a long non-coding RNA of Cottoperca gobio, 1125 nucleotides long. RefSeq lists it as uncharacterized. The transcript is spliced from 2 exons. Lineage: Eukaryota; Metazoa; Chordata; Actinopteri; Perciformes; Bovichtidae. The record is from RefSeq and is a predicted model, not a curated record.
GUCAUCAUCACACAUCCAUGUUAACCAUCAUCAUCCUCCUCCAGCUCCACCGCUACGAUGCUGCGUCUCACCCCGCAGGCUCUCAUGAUGUGUGUCAGUGCGUUAGUUAACGCACAGCCCGAGGACUCCAAGCUGACCGAGAGAGCUUAUGUUGUUUUACAGAAGCAGAAUUUAGUCGCAUUUGGGAGUGUCCUCGCAGUCCUGCUGGUGCUAAUGAUCAUCAUGGCUGUCUGUGUAUACAAACCGCUGUCUCGUCGGUGAAUCUGGCCCAAAAUCUGGAGGAGAUAAAGACCCGAGAGACAGAUCUGCUGUCCGCCCGGUGCACCGAGCACCGAGCAGCUCAGCCCCGGUGCUACCACACAGCCACCACCUGACGGGACCACAAUAGAGGGGGGAGCCGAGCUAUUCAAAACAGCUACCAGAAAACCCCCAGAUCGCACAAUUAUAAAUAUAUACAUAUGAACUGGGGUUUCAUUUGUCAUGAAAUCGGGUUAUUAAGCGCUACUGUAUGUUUGGAUGCGUCAGGAUAUCACACCUAUUUUGAUAUGCUGUCAUUUCUGUAAGACUCCUGUAAACAGAGGGAAAUGGGACAAAUGAUCUAGGCUGUUAAAUAUAUUACAUGUCACAUUUUAUUUAUUUAUUUGGACUUCACAUUUGAAGGGAAGGCUGUACAUAUGUGUAGUUAGUUUGUUUUUAAGGCCAAGUGUCUGUCUUAUUAUUAUUGACAGACAUUUGGUCAAUAAAGCUGGAGUUCUGCAAACAUUAAAUAUAUUCAACUGGGAUUAUAAAGUGAGAGAGUUGCAGUUACAAUUAUACCAGUUUUGGAUAGAUUUCUUUCCCUAAAUGUGGAAAUCUGUUUAUCAUUAUUUAAAUGAACUGUUUAUUUAAUUUAUUUGUAACACUUAAGGACUUUAAAUGUAAACGUUGUGUAUAUAGGUGUAUUUGUUUAAAGGAAUUGUGCUAAUACUAAAUGUGGAGUCCUGAAGUCAUUACAAUAGUGGGAUUACAAAGUGAGAAGGCUUCUGUGCAGAUUAAAUCCAGUAAAACCAACAAAUAACUUAAUUAUUUUCUCCCUAAUUGAGAAAAUCUGCUCAAUUUCCUCAAAUAAAACAUUCCUUCUUUGUA